Molecule: ribosomal RNA, 424 nt
Filed under: Bacillus velezensis
Lineage: Bacteria; Bacillati; Bacillota; Bacilli; Caryophanales; Bacillaceae
Description: bacterial SSU rRNA
Rfam family: Bacterial small subunit ribosomal RNA
Source: RNAcentral
UGCUAUACAUGCAAGUCGAGCGGACAGAUGGGAGCUUGCUCCCUGAUGUUAGCGGCGGACGGGUGAGUAACACGUGGGUAACCUGCCUGUAAGACUGGGAUAACUCCGGGAAACCGGGGCUAAUACCGGAUGCUUGUUUGAACCGCAUGGUUCAGACAUAAAAGGUGGCUUCGGCUACCACUUACAGAUGGACCCGCGGCGCAUUAGCUAGUUGGUGAGGUAACGGCUCACCAAGGCAACGAUGCGUAGCCGACCUGAGAGGGUGAUCGGCCACACUGGGACUGAGACACGGCCCAGACUCCUACGGGAGGCAGCAGUAGGGAAUCUUCCGCAAUGGACGAAAGUCUGACGGAGCAACGCCGCGUGAGUGAUGAAGGUUUUCGGAUCGUAAAGCUCUGUUGUUAGGGAAGAACAAGUGCCGUUC